CACAGCUGGAAACUUUGCCUGGGAAUUUAUGCUUAUAAAUUUCAGUCAUUGUUUCUGGUCGUGUGUGUAAUAAUGUGCAUCCUAGCCCAAAGAGAGGUGCCACACUGGAGGUUUGGAUAGAUGGCUUGUUUCUGUUUGAGACCGACUGCAGCUUUCAGGCUGAGGUACAACAUUGAUUCUCUGCUUUUGAUAAACGUCUUAUGUUUGUAAAGAAAUUGACAGCCGAACGAAUGCCAGAUUGGAACACUGCUGAGGUCGGCUGUCUGGAAAGCAUUGCCAACACCUGCAUCGUCCUUGUAGAAUGUGUCUGUGUUAAAGCUGCAUUGGAAAUAACAAGCUACCAAACAAAUACUGGUAGACUUUAAUCUUCAGAUCCUAAAGCCACCAGGAGCCUAACAGAUAUCCUGUCUGAUUAUGACAUUUUGUAAGCUUCCCAACAGCGGCAGCAACUUUUCUGGUUAGGUGAAGCUCCCAGUGGUUUGGUUGUGACAUAUCCCACUGAGGGAAUGGCAGUGGUGUUGCCACAUGUAGACAAGGCCUCAGUAUGUCAGGUAUGUUGGUGAACCAGAUCCACUCAGCCGAUCUCAGAUGAUGGGUGUAACUCUGUACUUUCCUUGACUGGCAUGAUUUAUUAAAACAUGUUGACAAUAAAAGACUACCUGACACUAAGCACAUGGAAAUGAUUUAUUUCUGAAUACACUGAGCACAUGAUUGAGUCCAAGAUAAAGAGAAGAAAUUAAACCUGGAUCAACUAUGUUUCAUUAAAAAAAAAAAAGUUGCAAAUGACAUUAUGCUUUCAGUUUCUUUCCCUAUUGAAAUAAAUACGAGAAACAAAUGCCUGUGCAGCCGUUACUGUAUAUGGAAGGGUUUUCUUUUCUCAGUCUUGAAUUAGUGGUUGUUAUUUGCACAAACAGCUGGAGGUCUCUAUCUGUAGUUCCAACAGUUUUUUUCAUGAGUUUCUUUUGUUUUGUAUUGCUGAGGUGCAGGGUAUACAUGUGAUAUUGACCAACAUUACCUGUGUCAAUACUGGGAACAGAUUUGCUUUGGGCCAAAGGUUUCAGCAGAUCAGUGGCUGGAGGAAGAGUAUGCAGCUGAAGAUAACUAUGUCCUCUCGGCUGCUGUGGGCAGUUUAUUUCUUGGAAAAGCUUGAAAGCUGCACUACAGGUAGAAAGUGUGUGUGUGUCAUCUUUAUGGUUCGGUGAUAAAAGUGCAGAGUGUUGUAUAUUAAUAACUUAAAGAAGCCUUAAGGUAUUCCUUGAAGGUUAUUUGAGGCCUAAUCCUCUGUUUUACUGGUUGAACUUGCUGAGUGUCAUUGUGUCCUAACUGGGACUUAAUGAAUGAGUCGUAUUCAUAAACAAUGGAAAUGCUGAUAGUUUAUUACAUUUUGAGAUGCUAUGAGUAAGAGCAACUUGUUAAUUGGCUUUACUUAAAAUAAAAUUCUGUUACAGCAAAUGCCAACAUAUGCAUUGAUUCAUGAUUGGUAGAUUGCAUACAAGCCCUGGAUUAAAGAAUAAUAAUGUAGCACUCGAUUCCAUGUCUGAUGCACGACAUCCACAAGUGUACAUUCUGAUCUGAUCAGAUCAGUUUUGCCAUUGUCAACAUGUCCACACGGUGGUGCUCUCACCAAAGAAUAAAUAAGGAGUCCCACCUUUGUGGGUGUGGUAACUCUGCUACAACAACUUUAAGUUCUUCCCAUUUU
Long non-coding RNA from Etheostoma cragini (Arkansas darter), 1699 nucleotides. RefSeq lists it as uncharacterized. NCBI's taxonomy places the organism in Eukaryota, Metazoa, Chordata, Actinopteri, Perciformes, Percidae. The transcript is spliced from 2 exons. The record is from RefSeq and is a predicted model, not a curated record.